RNAcentral lists this unclassified non-coding RNA (485 nucleotides) under Hevea brasiliensis (rubber tree). Lineage: Eukaryota; Viridiplantae; Streptophyta; Magnoliopsida; Malpighiales; Euphorbiaceae. The record is from RNAcentral.
GGGCCUCUUUCCUCUGUCGCUCUCUCCAGCACAACCAAAAACAGUUAUAACCCUCCUAGGGCCAAGCUCUCUCACGUAAUCAAGUAGUCUUGAUAAAGCAUCAGGGGUAUGAGCAUAGUCUACAAUUACUCCAAAAGCCUGUUCUUCAUCUAUCAGCUCACAUCGACCAGGGACUGCAUCAACCUCUUCAAUACCUUUGACAAUGUCCUCCAAAGGUGCCCCAACGGCAAUUCCAACAGCGACUGCUGCAAGAAUGUUAUAGAUGUUAUGCCGUCCAAGCAAACCAGAAGAUAUUUCCAAUAUGCCUUGAGGUGUGUUGACCAGCACUUGAGUCUCAAAGAGAGAUAACUGAAACUUUAAAGGAUGAACAUCAGCACUCUUAUUGUCCAUUGCAAAAGUCACAACAGGCACAUCAGGGUUUCCUUGUGCAACAAAGAAAGUUGCAUUAGUGUCAUCAAUAUUCACAAUCUUGCGGUGUCGUGCUG